This 918-nucleotide ribosomal RNA is filed under the name Triticum aestivum (bread wheat). RNAcentral's name for it is "partial small subunit ribosomal RNA". The record is from RNAcentral. Lineage: Eukaryota; Viridiplantae; Streptophyta; Magnoliopsida; Poales; Poaceae.
AUGGAUGCUCUCACUGCGGUGGUGACUAAAGCUUUUGUGGAUGGUGUGCUAAGCUCAUUCAGAGGGAUCUCAGCAGUUCAACGUAUCUCCAUAUACACAGAUGAUGUUGCUUUCUUCAUCCGCCCAUCGCUCCAAGAUCUGCAAUUCGUUCAGGAGGCCUUGUUGGUUUUCAGUGAGGCCUCCGGCCUUAAAGUUAACUACGGCAAGUCUACGGCUACCAUCUUCAGAGGGGAGCAGGAGGAUAAAGAUAGGGUAACUAGUCUGCUUCAUUGUGCCCUAGCUCACUUCCCUAUAAGAUAUCUUCGGCUCCAGCUCGCCACCCGUCAGUUGACCAGGAAUGAAUGGCAACCUUUGCUGGAUAUGGUCAAAAAUAUGGCUCUGGGCUGGCAAAGAGGCUUCAUACAGAGGGUUGGGCGCCUGGUGCUGGUUAAAUCGGUUUUAUCAGCCAGACCGGUCCACCAACUGCUAAUCCUUAAUGCGCCUGAAUGGGUCUUUGAGGAGAUUAACACUUGGAUGCGCUCCUUCUUUUGGGCUGGCAAAGACAAAACCAAUGGUGGACAAUGUUUGGUGGCUUGGAACACGAUUUGCAGACCCACAAGCUUUGGUGGAUUGGGAGUGAAAUAUCUGAAACUGCAAGCUCUGGCGCUAAGAGUUAGAUGGGAAUGAUUAAGUAGAGUGGACAAGGAUAGACCAUGGAGCAAUCUGGCACUGAUGGUGGAUGAUGAUGCAAGAGAAGUUUUCGAUAGUCUAGUUGGCAUUGAGGUUGGUAGAGGUGAUCGAGUGCUCUUUUGGCGCAACAGAUGGAUUAAUGGAUACAGAGCCGAGGAUAUCGCUCCAAACAUUCAAGCGAUGGUUCAAACCCGAGUGAUUAACUCGCGAACGGUUGAGCAAGCUCUAGUAGGACAGAGGUGGGAGUAA